UACGAGGGGGGCAAGCGUUGUUCGGAAUUAUUGGGCGUAAAGGGCGCGUAGGCAGUUUGGCAAGUCUAGUGUGAAAUCUUCGGGCUCAACUCGAAGUCUGCACUGGAAACUGCCGGGCUUGAGUAUGGGAGAGGUGAGUGGAAUUUCCGGUGUAGCGGUGAAAUGCGUAGAUAUCGGAAGGAACACCUGUGGCGAAAGCGGCUCACUGGACCAUAACUGACGCUGAGGCGCGAAAGCUAGGGGAGCAAACAGG
Molecule: ribosomal RNA, 253 nt
Filed under: uncultured bacterium
Lineage: Bacteria
Description: partial 16S ribosomal RNA
Rfam family: Bacterial small subunit ribosomal RNA
Source: RNAcentral